Passer domesticus (house sparrow) is the source of this 1153-nucleotide long non-coding RNA. RefSeq lists it as uncharacterized. The transcript has 3 exons. The record is from RefSeq and is a predicted model, not a curated record. NCBI's taxonomy places the organism in Eukaryota, Metazoa, Chordata, Aves, Passeriformes, Passeridae.
AGCUCUUCUGUGAUGGACAAUUCUAUAAGCUAAAGCCAUUGAAAGUGUUACUGUUAAACAUGAAGUUUCAAUAAGUUAAGUAUGUUAAUUAUGUUGUUGUUAAAAUGUAAAACCUCUAAUGUUACUGUUGAUUUGAAGCUGUAAUAAGCAAAGUUGUUGUUGCAAAGUUGUUGUUACAAAGUUGAACCUGUUAGUUACCUUCACUGUUAAUCCCCGCAGUUCACACCCACCCUUGUUACCUCCGUCAAGUGCUGCCUCCACUGCUCCCUAAAAUGGCGCCGAGGAAACCUCCCUGGGAAAUAUGCAAAUCAAGAGGAAGUCAAGGGAAUCUAACUAAAGACCUUGAAACCGACAAACUAAACUAAAAUUCAAGAAACUAAGUGAAUGGUUCUGCUGGCAAAAAGUACUGCUAUUCAAUUAGUGAGGUUUUAAAAAUCGCUGUAACCUCAACAGAACAAAGUUGAAGUGAGGACCCUAGACUCCGAGCCAGACAGUCGACUUCCUGGGCACGCUCGUGAGGACGGAAGCCCCAGUUCUGCUGUGCAGCAAAACUGCGUCACCUCCUCCUCUGCAUCUCCACAGGGAGCAGUGGCAGUAUGAACCUGCUGGUGAAGGCCCCACAUCCAGGACUGAGCCUCUGGAAGAUGCUGAGGGUGUGUCUGUGGGGAGGACUUCACCAACUCCUACCUUGGAUGCUGCACAAAAGCCCAGCUCCCGUCGCAGGGGUGAGUAGUGUGUCCCUGCUGACCCCACAGGCUGAGCCCUGCUCUUGUGGGAUCCCUUACUGGGAAAUGGAAGUAUUUUUCUCUAGUUCCUCUGACAGGGAAGAUCCAAGACACAACAGAAAAGAUAUCCCUGAAACCAUCCAAACAGAAGAGGCAAGUGCUGAAGCAAAUGUUGCAGGGAGGACAAGGUGGGUGCAUUUCCCUCAUGCUUCCCCUGGGACUCAGCAGCCGGGGGCUUUGGCUGCACAUCUGCACACACCGUGCCCGGUACAGUGAGAUGGGAUCCAUGGCCAAUUCCCAGUGAGGAAUGUUUCCAUCUGAUCCAGCUGUCUCUUUUCCAUUCUCCAGAAAUGAAAGGACAGCCUGUGGAGAAGGAAGCAUGUCCCAGAGGAAGCAGUGGUUCUGUGCCAGCCUCUGCUGCAGGAAGG